This 492-nucleotide ribosomal RNA is filed under the name uncultured bacterium. RNAcentral's name for it is "partial 16S ribosomal RNA". It matches the Rfam family "Bacterial small subunit ribosomal RNA", at positions 29 to 507 of the family's 1533-position model. The record is from RNAcentral.
AGUGAACGCUGGCGGUAGGCCUAACACAUGCAAGUCGAACGGCAGCACAGUAAGAGCUUGCUCUUACGGGUGGCGAGUGGCGGACGGGUGAGGAAUACAUCGGAAUCUACUUUUUCGUGGGGGAUAACGUAGGGAAACUUACGCUAAUACCGCGUACGACCUACGGGUGAAAGCAGGGGAUCUUCGGACCUUGCGCGAUUGAAUGAGCCGAUGUCGGAUUAGCUAGUUGGCGGGGUAAAGGCCCACCAAGGCGACGAUCCGUAGCUGGUCUGAGAGGAUGAUCAGCCACACUGGAACUGAGACACGGUCCAGACUCCUACGGGAGGCAGCAGUGGGGAAUAUUGGACAAUGGGCGCAAGCCUGAUCCAGCCAUACCGCGUGGGUGAAGAAGGCCUUCGGGUUGUAAAGCCCUUUUGUUGGGAAAGAAAAGCAGCAGGCUAAUACCCCGCUGUUCUGACGGUACCCAAAGAAUAAGCACCGGCUAACUUCGUG